CAGCCGCGGUAAUACGUAGGGUGCAAGCGUUAAUCGGAAUUACUGGGCGUAAAGCGUGCGCAGGCGGUUUGUUAAGACAGAUGUGAAAUCCCCGGGCUCAACCUGGGAACUGCAUUUGUGACUGGCAAGCUAGAGUGUGGCAGAGGGGGGUGGAAUUCCGCGUGUAGCAGUGAAAUGCGUAGAUAUGCGGAGGAACACCGAUGGCGAAGGCAGCCCCCUGGGCCAACACUGACGCUCAUGCACGAAAGCGUGGGGAGCAAACAGGAUUAGAUACCCGUGUAGUCCCUGUCUCUUAUACACA
RNAcentral lists this ribosomal RNA (301 nucleotides) under uncultured bacterium. RNAcentral describes it as "partial 16S ribosomal RNA". It matches the Rfam family "Bacterial small subunit ribosomal RNA", at positions 512 to 810 of the family's 1533-position model. The record is from RNAcentral.